Molecule: long non-coding RNA, 1066 nt
Organism: Brassica napus (rape)
Lineage: Eukaryota; Viridiplantae; Streptophyta; Magnoliopsida; Brassicales; Brassicaceae
Exons: 6
Source: RefSeq, a predicted model, not a curated record
AAACCUCGACUUUAUCUUUCUCAAAACUCUUCGAUGGGAAUCCAUGGCGAUUCGAAGCUUCUCGAUUGCUUGAGUGAUCCACGCUUGAGUGACUUUGAUCCAUCACGAUUCAAAGAAGUCCAUGACUCCUGAGCUUCAAGAUCUUCAUCGAUGAGAACGCCAUGAAUCUGAUUUGGAAAAAAAUCAAAACGAUGGUUGGAAACACGUUAGAUCCACCAGGACUUCUCGAAUCCUAUCUCUUAAGGUGAUUUGGAAUGGUUUCCAAGAGUCCGACGAAGACGUCUGUGGGUUGUCAUUUUUUUUUGAAUCUUCAAUUCUCACGACAUAUUAAAGAUAAGUUAUUACUUGAAUCUUUGUAUUCUUUUACAAUAGUAUGAAAUCGUCUAUGUUUUACAUUUUACCAGACGGUGAACCUAAGUUUGAUACAAUUUAUGUACAGGUCAUGCAUUGGCAAUCUUUUGAAACAAAGCUUUACUGGGAACUGGAAGACAUGUGACAGAGAUAAGACACGCCAUCAAUAAGAUCCGGCUUACUUAAGGUGCAAGAAAUCAGUACAUGAUUUGGACAUGGCAACUAUGGAAUCUCCCUCAUAGAUACGCCCAUAUCAGAUCUCCACUUGAUAAAGGAUGAUCGGUUGCUCGGUACAUGCCAGUUGAAGGACUGAGGGUGAAAUUCUGGAUGUGCCUCCAUGCUCCAACAGGAAGCAGGCGGCCUUUACUCUCCAUAAUACUCACAGCUUCAUCGGAUAGCACCAUCUCGAGGGUGUCCCCGUGCACUGGGUUGUACUGCUUCCAAGAGUGCAGAACCUUCACAUGCACUUUCCAGCCACUCUUGUAAGGUUUCACAUCUUUCAAAGGGGUCACUUUCAUUGCGGUAGACAUUUUUUUUUUGAUUGCGAAUGUAGUUGUGAGUAAAUGUGAGAAAGCUUAGGCAUGUUGUAGGUGUUUAUAUAGUAGUAGGUUAAUCGAUGGUUGUAAAUGUCUGGUAAAAAAAUAUUGCUGGUAUAUUCUUAGUUCUCUAUAGGAAAACGUUAAGAGUAUUGAUCAAGAAAAAAUAUUUAGAGCUC